RNAcentral lists this ribosomal RNA (305 nucleotides) under uncultured bacterium. RNAcentral's name for it is "bacterial SSU rRNA". It matches the Rfam family "Bacterial small subunit ribosomal RNA", at positions 335 to 654 of the family's 1533-position model. The record is from RNAcentral.
GUUCCUACGGGGGGCAGCAGUGGGGAAUAUUGCACAAUGGGGGGAACCCUGAUGCAGCAAUGCCGCGUGAAGGAUGAAGGUUUUCGGAUUGUAAACUUCUUUUGUACGGGACGAAGAAAGUGACGGUACCGUAAGAAUAAGCCACGGCUAACUACGUGCCAGCAGCCGCGGUAAUACGUAGGUGGCAAGCGUUAUCCGGAUUUACUGGGUGUAAAGGGCGAGUAGGCGGGAUUGCAAGUCGGAUGUGAAAUCCUGCGGCUUAACCGCAGAACUGCAUUUGAAACUGUUGAUCUUGAGUACUGGAG